GAAUUUACCUUGCAGGGGAGAUACCGUGAUCACAAAGGUGAUUUUCCCAAGGCGAGGCUCAUCUGUUAUGUUCUGGAUAUGCUGACCGUGUAAUUUUCCCAAGUGUGGAAAACCACCUGCAUGCAUAAUACGUGGCAGUGUUGGUAUGUGUUUUAAGAUGAGCCCUCC
This is a small nuclear RNA of Cricetulus griseus (Chinese hamster), 168 nucleotides long. Its record names the gene U1. It matches the Rfam family "U1 spliceosomal RNA". Rfam says of the family: U1 is a small nuclear RNA (snRNA) component of the spliceosome (involved in pre-mRNA splicing). Its 5' end forms complementary base pairs with the 5' splice junction, thus defining the 5' donor site of an intron. The record is from Ensembl. NCBI's taxonomy places the organism in Eukaryota, Metazoa, Chordata, Mammalia, Rodentia, Cricetidae.